UUUUAAUCAGAGAGCUACAUGAACUUGGGUUGGGUCUGCAUAAACAUAUGGUUCAAUCAGGAGCGUUGUGGCCUAGCUCUCUCACUCUUAUUUCACCAGUCGCAGAGAAAAAAAGAGAAGGAAAAAUGACCUGCUUGAUCGUUCUUUCCCCUCACUAGAUUGAUCACGGUACCCCUAAGUCGACGACAUGCAUCUCAAGGUCGGAUGCGCCCCUCUUUCCCCUCGCUCAGAUCAGCCAUUUCACGCCUCUUUCCCAUAUCUCUCAACUCCCUCUAACCCUAGCAGUAAUGGCGGCAUAGUGGUGGCGUCGUGGCAGCAUAAAUAUUGACGGUAUUGUUAUGGUGCUGCUCUCUCUUCUCAUUCUCCUUUAAUUUUUUUAUUAUUUUCCAAUUGAAGGUUUUAAUUUCCUCCCUUGUUAAUUUCUCCUAAAACUUGGGUUUUAAUUUUUCCUGCAAAUUUUUGUUAUUUAGAGUCGAUUUUUGUUGCAAUUCGAAUGAUUGUAUUGUUAAUUUGUUAAUUAUUUCAAUCAUUACAUAUAUAAUUUCAAAAUGUUGUGGAGAUCUGUGCUACUUUUGUGAUUUCUGGAAUACUUUUUCUCUGUUUUUGUGAGAAAGUUUUAUUCAUUUUAAGUGCUGUAUUUUUUGUGUUAUUGGACUGAGAUUGUAGAAAUAAUAUAGUUUGACAACAAAAUACUAAUAAAAAGUAAUUAGGAAACUAAACAUGAAAAAGGUAUAUAUAUAUAUAUAUAUAUAUAUAUAUAUAUAUAUAUAUAUAUAUAUAUAUAUAUAUAUUCGUGUAACCUUUUUUUAUUGUGUUUGUUUUCAUGUUGAUAGCCUCAAAGGAAAUAGUUUUGGGGAAUCAAGGAAUGACUCUCCUUUAAUAGAGGUAUUGUGCAUCUAUUAUAGCCAAUUGUGUUUGAACUAUUUAAAUAAUGAUGGAGGACAAUGUUUUUAUUCGCUAUUUAUUAUGACAGUCUCAAUCCAUGCAUAUAUUCAUUCAAGUACAAUGCUAAGAAUCCCAGAAGAUUGAUUUUUAUAAAAUCUAUCAUAGCAUAAAACAACAUUUUAAUUCGACAUGUGAAAAUAAAAAUAAAACAUAACAACAGGAUGUGAGUGGAAAAUUUGAAGUUUGGAUAUAUAGGACAUAACUAUCAAGUCAUCGUGUAGAAUUCAUCAGGAUCUCUGAGCUUGGGGAUCAAACAAUUGGCCGACUGUAACCAUGUGCAGUGAAUCUUGAAGUGGAGGUUUUUUCUUUGUUAGCUGCACAGAAACUUGUUUCAUGUUAGGCCUACAUUCUGGACUUUGAUGUAAACAAGCAAAUGCGAGCCUCGCAACAAAAACCAUUUCCUCGGCUACUUCAUUAGUAGGGGGCGAGAGGCGUUGGUCCAACAAGUCUAUCAAUAGUACACCGCAAGCAGAUGAUGAUGAGAGAUAUGUGAUGUCAUCCCUCGGAUGCCUCCCCAUAAUCACUUCUAGUAACAACACACCAAAGCUGUAGACGUCGUUUUUCUCGUUUACUUCCAUUGAUAAGGCUAAUUCUGCAAUAAUUAAAGAAC
RNAcentral lists this long non-coding RNA (1555 nucleotides) under Panax ginseng (ginseng). RNAcentral describes it as "long non-coding RNA (PGIN_LNC007243)". The record is from RNAcentral. Lineage: Eukaryota; Viridiplantae; Streptophyta; Magnoliopsida; Apiales; Araliaceae.